UACGGAAGGCAGCAGUGGGGAAUAUUGCACAAUGGGCGCAAGCCUGAUGCAGCCAUGCCGCGUGUAUGAAAAAGGCCUUCGGGUUGUAAAGUACUUUCAGUCGUGAGGAAGGUGUUAAGGUUAAUAACCUUAGCAAUUGACGUUAGCGACAGAAGAAGCACCGGCUAACUCCGUGCCAGCAGCCGCGGUAAUACGGAGGGUGCGAGCGUUAAUCGGAAUUACUGGGCGUAAAGGGCACGCAGGCGGUUAAUUAAGUUGGAUGUGAAAUCCCCGGGCUUAACCUGGGAAUGGCAUUCAAGACUGGUUAGCUAGAGUCUUGUAGAGGGGGUAGAAUUCCAUGUGUAGCGGUGAAAUGCGUAGAGAUGUGGAGGAAUACCGGUGGCGAAGGCGGCCCCUGGACAAAGACUGACGCUCAUGUGCGAAAGCGUGGGGAGCGAAACAGGGAUUAGAUACC
This 454-nucleotide ribosomal RNA is filed under the name uncultured bacterium. RNAcentral describes it as "bacterial SSU rRNA". It matches the Rfam family "Bacterial small subunit ribosomal RNA", at positions 340 to 786 of the family's 1533-position model. The record is from RNAcentral.